AACGAACGCUGGCGGCAGGCCUAACACAUGCAAGUCGAGCGCACCCUUCGGGGUGAGCGGCGGACGGGUGAGUAACGCGUGGGAACGUGCCCUUCUCUGCGGAAUAGCCUCGGGAAACUGAGAGUAAUACCGCAUACGCCCUUUGGGGGAAAGAUUUAUCGGAGAAGGAUCGGCCCGCGUUGGAUUAGGUAGUUGGUGGGGUAAUGGCCCACCAAGCCGACGAUCCAUAGCUGGUUUGAGAGGAUGAUCAGCCACACUGGGACUGAGACACGGCCCACACUACCACGGGGGAGAGGCGGGGGGAAGUGCGGAGCGUGGUGGCAACCGUGCUCUAGCGAGGCCGGGUGUGUGAGGAAGGCCUUAGGGGUGAAAGGCUUUUUCAGCUGGAAAUAACAAGACGGUACAGCCAGUAGAAGCCCCGCCUACCGCCGAGCCCGAAGCGGCGGUAUAAGAGGAACACCACACGCCCGAAC
This 473-nucleotide ribosomal RNA is filed under the name uncultured bacterium. RNAcentral's name for it is "partial 16S ribosomal RNA". It matches the Rfam family "Bacterial small subunit ribosomal RNA", at positions 38 to 536 of the family's 1533-position model. The record is from RNAcentral.